Molecule: unclassified non-coding RNA, 237 nt
Filed under: plant metagenome
Description: partial contains small subunit ribosomal RNA, internal transcribed spacer 1, and 5.8S ribosomal RNA
Rfam family: Eukaryotic small subunit ribosomal RNA (bases 1-54)
Source: RNAcentral
GGAAGUAAAAGCCGUAACAAGGUCUCCGUUGGUGAACCAGCGGAGGGAUCAUUACCGAGUUUACAACUCCCAAACCCCUGUGAACAUACCUGUUUUGUUGCUUCGGCGGUGCCCUCGCUCUCGCGGCGAGGCCCGCCAGAGGACCCAAACAAACUCUUUGACUUUGAUCUAGGAUUAUACUUCUGAGUGAUACAAAAAAUAAAAUCAAAACUUUCAACAACGGAUCUCUUGGUUCUG